UUUCCUUUUUGGUAAAUGCGA
RNAcentral lists this small nuclear RNA (21 nucleotides) under Arabidopsis thaliana (thale cress). Its description in RNAcentral is "snRNA_01646". The record is from RNAcentral. Lineage: Eukaryota; Viridiplantae; Streptophyta; Magnoliopsida; Brassicales; Brassicaceae.